This 484-nucleotide ribosomal RNA is filed under the name uncultured bacterium. RNAcentral's name for it is "partial 16S ribosomal RNA". It matches the Rfam family "Bacterial small subunit ribosomal RNA", at positions 28 to 507 of the family's 1533-position model. The record is from RNAcentral.
AUUGAACGCUGGCGGCAUGCUUUACACAUGCAAGUCGAACGGCAGCGCGGGCUUCGGCCUGGCGGCGAGUGGCGAACGGGUGAGUAAUGCAUCGGAACGUGCCCAGUAGUGGGGGAUAGCCCGGCGAAAGCCGGAUUAAUACCGCAUACGACCUGAGGGUGAAAGCGGGGGACCGAAAGGCCUCGCGCUAUGGGAGCGGCCGAUGUCGGAUUAGCUAGUUGGUGGGGUAAAGGCUUACCAAGGCGACGAUCCGUAGCUGGUCUGAGAGGACGACCAGCCACACUGGGACUGAGACACGGCCCAGACUCCUACGGGAGGCAGCAGUGGGGAAUUUUGGACAAUGGGGGCAACCCUGAUCCAGCCAUGCCGCGUGCGGGAAGAAGGCCUUCGGGUUGUAAACCGCUUUUGUUCGGGAAGAAAUCCUCUGGGCUAAUACCCCGGGGGGAUGACGGUACCGGAAGAAUAAGCACCGGCUAACUACGUG